Molecule: long non-coding RNA, 476 nt
Filed under: Daucus carota (carrot)
Lineage: Eukaryota; Viridiplantae; Streptophyta; Magnoliopsida; Apiales; Apiaceae
Description: long non-coding RNA (DCAR_LNC004709)
Source: RNAcentral
UAUCAUAGCGAGGUUCUCGAAAGCUUGAUUCGUCAAGUUGCCGGAGGUGGGGACACGAAGGCUGGUGGUAUUAUCCCGCAAUGGACAGAGAUCUGGAGGCGGGGACACGAAGCCAGCCGGUAUUAUCCCACAAUGGCUAGAGAGGUUCGAUCUGGGCCUGUGGGCUAUCCAUUUCGGCCUGACGAAGACGUCGGGAAUUUAAGUGGGGGAGUUUGUAACACCCCAGUCCCACAUUGAGAAGGGUGGAGAUUUUAGUUCAGUUUAUAAGCAUAAGUACUACUAAUAAUUGCACCAACAAAUCAUGAUCUUUUGGGGGCCUGUGGUGGGCUUGUGGAUUACCCAAAUUGUUGCAAUUGGGCCAGUAUAUUUGAGCUUAUUUUCCAAGCCAGCCGGUAUUAUCCCACAAUGGCUAGAGAGGUUCGAUCUGGGCCUGUGGGCUAUCCAUUUCGGCCUGACGAAGACGUCGGGAAUUUAAG